Non-coding RNA from Pelobates cultripes (western spadefoot toad), 221 nucleotides. The record is from the annotation of a GenBank genome assembly. NCBI's taxonomy places the organism in Eukaryota, Metazoa, Chordata, Amphibia, Anura, Pelobatidae.
GACAGGUUGAGUUUAAGGAAGUGAGCAGCCAUCCAGCUGGAAAUAGCAGAGAGGCAGUCAGAAACACGAGUCAAGGUGGGCGGAGAGAGAUCAGGGGAGGACAGGUAGAUUUGCGUGUCAUCUGCAUAUAAAUGGUAUUGGACGCCAAAAGAGCUGAUGAGUUUACCAAGGGAGGCAGUAUAGAUAGAGAACAGUAGGGGGGCGAGGACAGAACCUUGGGG